This is a long non-coding RNA of Vidua macroura (Pin-tailed whydah), 448 nucleotides long. RefSeq lists it as uncharacterized. The transcript has 4 exons. Lineage: Eukaryota; Metazoa; Chordata; Aves; Passeriformes; Viduidae. The record is from RefSeq and is a predicted model, not a curated record.
GUUGGUGCUUGCUGCACAUCUUGUGCACAAAAUAGGUGAUAAAUUACAGCCAUGCUGGAGAAGCGAUGUGUGAAAACAUUUAAGGUGAUCUCAGGAGACUGCUCAGGGGGAAUUCAGGGAUGAGAAAUUUAAUGGUUGCAGUUUUAUAGUCUUUAUCAGACCAUCACGGCUGUAAUCAAAAGAUAAGAAUUAUCAUCCAUCAUCUCAAUCAAGUUUCAAGAGAAAAUCAUUGCAAGAGAACCUCUGAAAACAUCGUGAACAUUAAUUCCAUUGGUCUUAAAGUAAAAACAUUUCACUUGAUUGGUACGCUGGACUUAGAGUUACCAGGACAUGUAGGAAAGUCUCCCAUCCCACAUGGGGCUAAAAAUAAUGGAAAUCAACAUCAAAAGGAGAAAAAUGAGUGAGACAGAUUUGUUUAUAUAAAUGGUUACACCCAGCAUUUUGAAAA